RNAcentral lists this small nuclear RNA (148 nucleotides) under Chelonia mydas (Green sea turtle). Its description in RNAcentral is "U4 spliceosomal RNA". It matches the Rfam family "U4 spliceosomal RNA". From Rfam's summary of the family: U4 small nuclear RNA (U4 snRNA) is a component of the major U2-dependent spliceosome. The structure of U4 snRNA from yeast and human has been reported. The record is from Rfam by way of RNAcentral. Lineage: Eukaryota; Metazoa; Chordata; Testudines; Cheloniidae.
AUCCAUGCCAUGUUACUGUAUCAUAGCCAAUGAGGUUAAUCCGAGGCGUGAUCAUUACUAGUUGAAAAUCUUUCUAGAAUUUUAAUCAAAAUGUCAUGUGGUACCAGAUCAAACGCCUUACAGAAAUCUCUGUAUAUUAUUACAUCAG